AACGCUGGCGGCGUGCCUAACACAUGCAAGUCGAGCGAUUCUCUUCGGAGAAGAGCGGCGGACGGGUGAGUAACGCGUGGGUAACCUGCCUCAUACACAUCGGAUAACAUACCGAAAGGUAUGCUAAUACAGGAUAAUAUAAGAAAUUCACAUGGAUUUCUUAUCAAAGCUCCGGCGGUAUGAGAUGGACCCGCGUCUGAUUAGCUAGUUGGUAAGGUAACGGCUUACCAAGGCGACGAUCAGUAGCCGACCUGAGAGGGUGAUCGGCCACAUUGGAACUGAGACACGGUCCAAACUCCUACGGGAGGCAGCAGUGGGGAAUAUUGCACAAUGGGCGAAAGCCUGAUGCCAGCAACGCCGCGUGAGUGAUGAAGGCCGUCGGGUCGUAAAACUCUGUCCUCAAGGAAGAUAAUGACGGUACUUGAGGAGGAAGCCCCGGCUAACUACGUGCCAGCCGCAGC
Molecule: ribosomal RNA, 461 nt
Filed under: uncultured bacterium
Lineage: Bacteria
Description: bacterial SSU rRNA
Rfam family: Bacterial small subunit ribosomal RNA
Source: RNAcentral